RNAcentral lists this long non-coding RNA (735 nucleotides) under Parus major (Great Tit). RNAcentral's name for it is "lncRNA (ENSPMJG00000001379.1)". The record is from RNAcentral. Lineage: Eukaryota; Metazoa; Chordata; Aves; Passeriformes; Paridae.
CACAAAACUCGGGUUAAAACCAGAGGAAACCUUCCCGGGGUGGGAUGGUGGGAUGGAUGGGGACACCCGCACCCCAAAUCCUUGCGUGGGGACAGCGGGGUGGCCUCUGGACAUUCCCAAGGGACAUCCCAGCAGCUUUGCAGCCCCCGUCCCCCUCCCUGUGGCCCCGGAGCCACAUCCAGCCACCGCCUUGGCGUGUCACCUCCUGUCACAGCCCGUGGCCACAGCCCAGGUGGCCCAGGAAGGAGGAAGUGGCUUUUCCGGAGCGCGGCACCGUGCAGGCACACACGGCUGCCCUCGCCUCCGGGGCCACCGCGGCCACCGCGGCCACGGCCACGGGGAUCCCCCCGAGGAUCAUCCGGGUCCCCUCCUGUCCCCGUGUCCCCCAGGUCUCAGCUACCCCCUGUUCCCUGCCGCCAGCCUGAGCCGCGCCCUGGCCACCAAGACGCCCCCGCCGCUGUUCCUGGGGGCCGAGGGCCGGCGUGGCGAGUCCCAGGGCAACCUGGCGAGCGGCCGGAGCGGCGGCAGCGCAGCGCGGCCGCUGUACCCCGCCCUGCAGACCCUGAGCCCCGUGCUCAGCCCGGGCAGCUCCAGCCUCCCGAGCCACGGCCUCGCCGGUUUCUCCUUCCUCAGCCCGGCCCCGGCGGAUUUUGGGGCUGGAGAGGUCCCGCCGCCCCCCGGGUUCCUGCAGCCCCCGGCGUGGCAGCACCCCCGGGACGUGACAGCGCUGGGGUG